Long non-coding RNA from Pieris napi, 1069 nucleotides. RefSeq lists it as uncharacterized. NCBI's taxonomy places the organism in Eukaryota, Metazoa, Arthropoda, Insecta, Lepidoptera, Pieridae. The transcript is spliced from 3 exons. The record is from RefSeq and is a predicted model, not a curated record.
CUUUAAUGUACACAUUUAAUGUCGAAAUCAAAAGUAAAACUUCGACUUCCAGUUAGUGCUUAAGCAACAAGAAAUAAAAGUUUUCUACACGUGGCCGCGACGGCGCAUUGUAAGCAAUGGCACAUGUCCUUCCGUCCGCGUGAGCCUAAAUUAAGAACUCGAAACAAGUUCAAACUUUUCUCGUCUGUAAACUUGAUAGACUUCCUUGAACACCUAACGUCAUCUAUAUUGCCUGAAUUCAGAUUCAACAUUUUGCAUACAUUUGGUCCUGUAUCGGUAUUAUAGAUUCUUGCAGUUUAGACCGCUGAUCAUAGAUGGCGUAAAAGUUUUUAAGGGAAAAUAGCCUUACCUGUUUCAUAACUAUAUUAGUUACGAUGAAUAUUACUAGAGUGCCUUGAGUAGCUGAUGGAUAAUGUGUAAAAGCGAAAAAUCAAUAACGAUUGGGUGUCAAAGAUUUGGUUAUAGUUAGUAACGAAUAUUAAUGGAGCGUGGUACUUAAUUUUUCAAUGAGCUCGAACGAAAGGCUCUCAAUGGCCAAGCCAUGAUUUAAAUUUUAAUUGGCAGUUUAAAUUGAAAUCGUAAUGUUUUUUAAUCUUGUAAUGUUUAUAAGUGCCUCCACAUUCUCUAAAACAUAUAUUUAAUUAAACGAAAAUUAAGGGCUGUGCGUGAUAUAAAUCAACAAAAGAAAUGUUUUUUGAAACGUAUUAGUAGGUGGCGCCUCCAAUGUACCAACCAGCACCGGGAUCGCCAUCUAGAGCGGCUCGGGGUGCACCAGAAGGGGCCCCAUCUGGGACAAAUGCAAUAGCAGACACAACUUCACCAAUGACUGUCCCUCCGAAUCCCAUAUACUAUGCUAUGAACGUCUGAUAUAAGGAUUAGGUAUUUGGAAUACACACCUGAACAAGAUGGGGCAUGGAUAAAUACAUGAUAUCGAAGAUCUACAACAAAGAAUAAUCGUUGAGUUUUGUUGUCCUUCGAAAUUUGUAAUAGUUUGAUACGGCUUUGUAAAUUCAUCAUGAAAGUUGUAUUGUGUUCAAAAAAUAUCAGUGAAGCCUAAGAGACAAACCAA